CCUACGGGAGGCAGCAGUGGGGAAUUUUGCGCAAUGGGGGAAACCCUGACGCAGCAACGCCGCGUGAGUGAUGAAGGCCUUCGGGUCGUAAAGCUCUGUCAGAGGGGAAGAAAUGAUGUGGUGCUAAUACCAUCACUUCUUGACGGUACCCUCAAAGGAAGCACCGGCUAACUCCGUGCCAGCAGCCGCGGUAAU
RNAcentral lists this ribosomal RNA (195 nucleotides) under uncultured Desulfuromonadales bacterium. Its description in RNAcentral is "partial 16S ribosomal RNA". It matches the Rfam family "Bacterial small subunit ribosomal RNA", at positions 338 to 524 of the family's 1533-position model. Lineage: Bacteria; Pseudomonadati; Thermodesulfobacteriota; Desulfuromonadia; Desulfuromonadales. The record is from RNAcentral.